UACAGAGGUCUCAAGCGUUGUUCGGAUUCAUUGGGCGUAAAGGGUGCGUAGGCGGCCAACUAAGUCAGACGUGAAAUCCCUCGGCUUAACCGGGGAACUGCGUCUGAUACUGGAUGGCUUGAGUUUGGGAGAGGGAUGCGGAAUUCCAGGUGUAGCGGUGAAAUGCGUAGAUAUCUGGAGGAACACCGGUGGCGAAGGCGGCAUCCUGGACCAACACUGACGCUGAGUGAGCGAAAGCCAGGGGAGCAAACGGG
RNAcentral lists this ribosomal RNA (254 nucleotides) under uncultured bacterium. Its description in RNAcentral is "partial 16S ribosomal RNA". It matches the Rfam family "Bacterial small subunit ribosomal RNA", at positions 524 to 776 of the family's 1533-position model. The record is from RNAcentral.